GCUCUCUCUCGGGGAGUCAGGAAGGGCAUCAUAGGGAAGAGGUGACUUCUAAGCAAGUGUUAGAAGAUGAGUAGGGUCUGCUGCCUGUAGAAGUCUAGCAAGGGCAUCCCAAGCAGAAGGAGUCACAGGGCAGAGUUCAGGGCCCCAGGGCAGGGUGACACAUUGGGCACCUGUCUAGAGUUGGGGCCAAGCAGUGGAGGAUCCAUGCUGCCACAUCACGGCAGUCACUCAUAUACUAACAACCCCCAAGUCUGAGUAAACAGCCUGGGCCUUUUCCCUAAGCCCUUAACUCACACACCACCGCCUGCUCAGCAGCUACACUGCGAAGUGUACGGGCAAGAAGUCUCAGUUUGUCCUUAAGAAAAGAUGAAAAAGCCAAAACACGACCUUGUUCUUCUCUGGUCUUCCGGUCUUCCCUGUCUCACGUGGCACCACGCAGGCCCAGAAUAUGGGCGGCGCGGUUAAUGCUGCCCCUGCCCUCAUCCCACACAUCAUGGGUCUGCUGCAGUUCCAGACGGCUUCUCCUCCAGAGCGCACCCUGAAGCCGCCACCCCUCUCCCUGGGACUCUCCACUUCCACCCUGGCCCUGCUGCUGUCAGGUUUCUGCCUAGUGAGGAGAGUGACCUUUACAAAGUAGAGAAGCUCCUGCUUUCUGGCCGCCAUGGAAUAGAAUCUACGCCUCUUGCCAUGGCCUGCCCGCCGCUUACUUCUCUGCCCUCAUCUCUCCGCGCUGUCAGCUUACUCCAUGUCAGACACCGUGUCUUUCUUGCUGGUCCUCUCUUGUGUCCUUGCACUUGCUGUCCUUAGCCUGGGUCUUUCUCUCCCCUCGUCUGGCCUGGCGCACCCUCCCUCCGUUCUGGUCUCCUUUCAUGUGCUCUCUCUCUCACCGGUCGAAAAAAAGCGCUGUUGUACUCUUUCCCCCAGCAACCACUCUGUCCUUUUACCUUGCUUUGUUUUUCUUCAUCAGCACCCAUCGCCACCUGAGCUUAUACUGUAUAUUUGUCUUCUUGUUUACUCUUUGCCUAAAUCCAUGAGGAAGGUCUUUGUCUUUCUUGUCUCUUGCACUCACCAUGCCAGAGCUAAACACUGAGCCUGGCACACAGGCAGCGAUGAUGAAACACUAGAUGGGUGAAUGAACAAGUGAGUGAGCGAGCACAUGCCAGUGUGCAAGCCGAGACUUGGGCGUUUAUGCCACAGGAGGCGCGGGCCUAGUAGACAUCUUCCAGGAGAAAAACGUGGAAGAUUGAGGCAUUACAGUAAAAUAAACGGGCCCAUCUCACCAGUUGCAGACAGCAGUCUUAAUAUUCCGGUGAAUUUCCUCUCAUCUGUUUUCUAUAGAACAAGAUGCAGAUGCUUUCCAGAAUUUUCUUCAACUGCAGGCAUUACCAGGGAUCGAAUUUGGAACCUUGCACUUGCACAGCAGGUGCCGGAACCACUGAGCUAAAUCCCCUGCCCCAGCUCUUAGUACGUUUAAGCAUGUGUCGAGUACCAGGAGAGUGGAGUAUACAAGUGCCACAGAUGGAGCUGCUCACCGGCUGCCUGACAAGCUUGCUCUCCAGGCGGGAAUUCCACUACAGAGAUGCCCUCCUCUGCUCCCCUGCCAGCAAACACCUGCAGCACUAACUCCAGGCCACCCUCUUCCUGGCCUCUUCGACUCCCACUACCCAUUCCUGCACACGGAUGUACACACACACACACACACAUGUGUACACACACACGUGUACACACACACACACACACACACGUAUGAGCCAGUAAGCUGAUUAUUUUCUCCUCCAGUUCGGCUCCUGUAUCUUUAUUUCAUGAAAAAAUAAAACAAUUUUAU
Long non-coding RNA from Heterocephalus glaber (naked mole-rat), 1825 nucleotides. NCBI's taxonomy places the organism in Eukaryota, Metazoa, Chordata, Mammalia, Rodentia, Bathyergidae. The record is from Ensembl.